AUGGUGAUGAACUCCCUGAGCUUUUGUUUGUCAGAGAAAGUACCACUCCUUCAUUUUUGUAGACCAACUUUCCUGGAAACUGCUCAUUCAAUGACUAAUCGAUUUAAUGCCAUGUUGAAAGUAUUUGAAAACCAGGCAAAUAUGUUGGAGAG
This 152-nucleotide small RNA is filed under the name Pongo abelii (Sumatran orangutan). RNAcentral's name for it is "processed transcript". The record is from RNAcentral. Lineage: Eukaryota; Metazoa; Chordata; Mammalia; Primates; Hominidae.